RNAcentral lists this ribosomal RNA (233 nucleotides) under uncultured Candidatus Saccharibacteria bacterium. RNAcentral's name for it is "partial 16S ribosomal RNA". It matches the Rfam family "Bacterial small subunit ribosomal RNA", at positions 584 to 818 of the family's 1533-position model. The record is from RNAcentral. Lineage: Bacteria; Candidatus Saccharimonadota.
UAAGCAAGCAUUAAGCGUGUGGCUUAACCAUACAGAUGUGCUUUGAACUGUUGAACUAGAGUGUAAGAGAGGUUACUGGAAUUUCUUGUGUAGGAGUGAAAUCCGUAGAUAUAAGAAGGAACACCGAUGGCGUAGGCAGGUAACUGGCUUACUACUGACGCUCAGGCACGAAAGCGUGGGGAGCGAACCGGAUUAGAUACCCGGGUAGUCCACGCCGUAAACGAUGGAUGCUA